GUGGAGGUUUAGCUCAGUGGUUACUUCCUAACUAGCGUUUCUCUAACCUCGCGGGUUCGCGCCCUGAGGAUCUACCACGGGUGCUGUCCUCUGCUUUU
This is a vault RNA of Sparus aurata (gilthead seabream), 98 nucleotides long. Its record names the gene Vault. It matches the Rfam family "Vault RNA". From Rfam's summary of the family: This family of RNAs are found as part of the enigmatic vault ribonucleoprotein complex. The complex consists of a major vault protein (MVP), two minor vault proteins (VPARP and TEP1), and several small untranslated RNA molecules. The record is from Ensembl. NCBI's taxonomy places the organism in Eukaryota, Metazoa, Chordata, Actinopteri, Spariformes, Sparidae.